CACACUAUCAUUAACUGAAUCCAUAGGUUAAUGAGGCGAACCGGGGGAACUGAAACAUCUAAGUACCCCGAGGAAAAGAAAUCAACCGAGAUUCCCCCAGUAGCGGCGAGCGAACGGGGAGGAGCCCAGAGCCUGAAUCAGUGUGUGUGUUAGUGGAAGCGUCUGGAAAGGCGCGCGAUACAGGGUGACAGCCCCGUACACAAAAAUGCACAUAUUGUGAGCUCGAUGAGUAGGGCGGGACACGUGGUAUCCUGUCUGAAUAUGGGGGGACCAUCCUCCAAGGCUAAAUACUCCUGACUGACCGAUAGUGAACCAGUACCGUGAGGGAAAGGCGAAAAGAACCCCGGCGAGGGGAGUGAAAAAGAACCUGAAACCGUGUACGUACAAGCAGUGGGAGCCUCUUUAUGGGGUGACUGCGUACCUUUUGUAUAAUGGGUCAGCGACUUAUAUUCUGUAGCAAGGUUAACCGAAUAGGGGAGCCGAAGGGAAACCGAGUCUUAACUGGGCGUUAAGUUGCAGGGUAUAGACCCGAAACCCGGUGAUCUAGCCAUGGGCAGGUUGAAGGUUGGGUAACACUAACUGGAGGACCGAACCGACUAAUGUUGAAAAAUUAGCGGAUGACUUGUGGCUGGGGGUGAAAGGCCAAUCAAACCGGGAGAUAGCUGGUUCUCCCCGAAAGCUAUUUAGGUAGCGCCUCGUGAAUUCAUCUCCGGGGGUAGAGCACUGUUUCGGCAAGGGGGUCAUCCCGACUUACCAACCCGAUGCAAACUGCGAAUACCGGAGAAUGUUAUCACGGGAGACACACGGCGGGUGCUAACGUCCGUCGUGAAGAGGGAAACAACCCAGACCGCCAGCUAAGGUCCCAAAGUCAUGGUUAAGUGGGAAACGAUGUGGGAAGGCCCAGACAGCCAGGAUGUUGGCUUAGAAGCAGCCAUCAUUUAAAGAAAGCGUAAUAGCUCACUGGUCGAGUCGGCCUGCGCGGAAGAUGUAACGGGGCUAAACCAUGCACCGAAGCUGCGGCAGCGACACUAUGUGUUGUUGGGUAGGGGAGCGUUCUGUAAGCCUGUGAAGGUGGCCUGUGAGGGUUGCUGGAGGUAUCAGAAGUGCGAAUGCUGACAUAAGUAACGAUAAAGCGGGUGAAAAGCCCGCUCGCCGGAAGACCAAGGGUUCCUGUCCAACGUUAAUCGGGGCAGGGUGAGUCGACCCCUAAGGCGAGGCCGAAAGGCGUAGUCGAUGGGAAACAGGUUAAUAUUCCUGUACUUGGUGUUACUGCGAAGGGGGGACGGAGAAGGCUAUGUUGGCCGGGCGACGGUUGUCCCGGUUUAAGCGUGUAGGCUGGUUUUCCAGGCAAAUCCGGAAAACCAAGGCUGAGGCGUGAUGACGAGGCACUACGGUGCUGAAGCGACAAAUGCCCUGCUUCCAGGAAAAGCCUCUAAGCAUCAGGUAACAUCAAAUCGUACCCCAAACCGACACAGGUGGUCAGGUAGAGAAUACCAAGGCGCUUGAGAGAACUCGGGUGAAGGAACUAGGCAAAAUGGUGCCGUAACUUCGGGAGAAGGCACGCUGAUAUGUAGGUGAAGCGACUUGCUCGUGGAGCUGAAAUCAGUCGAAGAUACCAGCUGGCUGCAACUGUUUAUUAAAAACACAGCACUGUGCAAACACGAAAGUGGACGUAUACGGUGUGACGCCUGCCCGGUGCCGGAAGGUUAAUUGAUGGGGUUAGCGGUAACGCGAAGCUCUUGAUCGAAGCCCCGGUAAACGGCGGCCGUAACUAUAACGGUCCUAAGGUAGCGAAAUUCCUUGUCGGGUAAGUUCCGACCUGCACGAAUGGCGUAAUGAUGGCCAGGCUGUCUCCACCCGAGACUCAGUGAAAUUGAACUCGCUGUGAAGAUGCAGUGUACCCGCGGCAAGACGGAAAGACCCCGUGAACCUUUACUAUAGCUUGACACUGAACAUUGAGCCUUGAUGUGUAGGAUAGGUGGGAGGCUUUGAAGUGUGGACGCCAGUCUGCAUGGAGCCGACCUUGAAAUACCACCCUUUAAUGUUUGAUGUUCUAACGUUGGCCCGUAAUCCGGGUUGCGGACAGUGUCUGGUGGGUAGUUUGACUGGGGCGGUCUCCUCCUAAAGAGUAACGGAGGAGCACGAAGGUUGGCUAAUCCUGGUCGGACAUCAGGAGGUUAGUGCAAUGGCAUAAGCCAGCUUGACUGCGAGCGUGACGGCGCGAGCAGGUGCGAAAGCAGGUCAUAGUGAUCCGGUGGUUCUGAAUGGAAGGGCCAUCGCUCAACGGAUAAAAGGUACUCCGGGGAUAACAGGCUGAUACCGCCCAAGAGUUCAUAUCGACGGCGGUGUUUGGCACCUCGAUGUCGGCUCAUCACAUCCUGGGGCUGAAGUAGGUCCCAAGGGUAUGGCUGUUCGCCAUUUAAAGUGGUACGCGAGCUGGGUUUAGAACGUCGUGAGACAGUUCGGUCCCUAUCUGCCGUGGGCGCUGGAGAACUGAGGGGGGCUGCUCCUAGUACGAGAGGACCGGAGUGGACGCAUCACUGGUGUUCGGGUUGUCAUGCCAAUGGCACUGCCCGGUAGCUAAAUGCGGAAGAGAUAAGUGCUGAAAGCAUCUAAGCACGAAACUUGCCCCGAGAUGAGUUCUCCCUGACUCCUUGAGAGUCCUGAAGGAACGUUGAAGACGACGACGUUGAUAGGCCGGGUGUGUAAGCGCAGCGAUGCGUUGAGCUAACCGGUACUAAUGAACCGUGAGGCUUAACCUUACAACGCCGAAG
Molecule: ribosomal RNA, 2774 nt
Filed under: Escherichia coli
Lineage: Bacteria; Pseudomonadati; Pseudomonadota; Gammaproteobacteria; Enterobacterales; Enterobacteriaceae
Description: partial 23S ribosomal RNA
Rfam family: Bacterial large subunit ribosomal RNA
Source: RNAcentral